CUAUAUAGAGCGCGUCGGGCAACCGACUAUGGCGAUAAACGAUGCGUGGAAUAAGCGUAGUGGACCCGGGGGCAGUACCCGGCGCCUCCACCAGUUUCCCCGCCGGUCCGGUUCGCAUUGCGCAAAUCGAACCGCCGGCGGUUUCAUGGGGGCGAAACAGGCUCGACACGCGUGGUAAAGACCCAUCUUUCGCUCGGCAUGGUUCCGCCGUCAUCGGGCCGUAUGACAAGUGCCAACGAUAACUUCGAGGCGCUCGCUGUCGCUGCAUAAGCGAUAAGCGCGGCACGGGGGGCGCCGGGCAACAGAAGCCCCCCACCUUGCCUUUUCCAUAUCCAGCAGAGCGCAAAAAAAACGGCCGGUC
This 361-nucleotide transfer-messenger RNA is filed under the name Acidiphilium multivorum AIU301. The stretch from base 1 to 317 matches the Rfam family "Alphaproteobacteria transfer-messenger RNA". From Rfam's summary of the family: Bacterial tmRNA, also known as 10Sa RNA or SsrA, is named for its dual tRNA and mRNA-like properties. Its role is to liberate the mRNA from a stalled ribosome. The record is from RNAcentral. Lineage: Bacteria; Pseudomonadati; Pseudomonadota; Alphaproteobacteria; Acetobacterales; Acidocellaceae.